This 74-nucleotide transfer RNA is filed under the name Podarcis lilfordi (Lilford's wall lizard). RNAcentral's name for it is "tRNA.Lys". It matches the Rfam family "tRNA". Rfam says of the family: Transfer RNA (tRNA) molecules are approximately 80 nucleotides in length. Their secondary structure includes four short double-helical elements and three loops (D, anti-codon, and T loops). The record is from RNAcentral. Lineage: Eukaryota; Metazoa; Chordata; Lepidosauria; Squamata; Lacertidae.
CUCCUGAUAGCUCAGUUGGUAGAGCAUGAGACUCUUAAUCUCAGGGUUGUAGGUUUGAGCCCCACAUUGGGUGA